AACGAACGCUGGCGGCAUGCCUAACACAUGUAAGUCGAACGAGACCUUCGGGUCUAGUGGCGCACGGGUGCGUAACGCGUGGGAACCUGCCCUUAGGUUCGGAAUAACUCCCCGAAGGGGGUGCUAAUACCGGAUAAUGUCUUCGGACCAAAGAUUUAUCGCCUUUGGAUGGGCCCGCGUUGGAUUAGCUAGUUGGUAGGGUAAAAGCCUACCAAGGCGACGAUCCAUAGCUGGUCUGAGAGGAUGAUCAGCCACACUGGGACUGAGACACGGCCCAGACUCCUACGGGAGGCAGCAGUGGGGAAUAUUGGACAAUGGGCGAAAGCCUGAUCCAGCAAUGCCGCGUGAGUGAUGAAGGCCUUAGGGUUGUAAAGCUCUUUUACCCGGGAUGAUAAUGACAGUACCGGGAGAAUAAGCUCCGGCUAACUCCGUG
Molecule: ribosomal RNA, 433 nt
Filed under: uncultured bacterium
Lineage: Bacteria
Description: partial 16S ribosomal RNA
Rfam family: Bacterial small subunit ribosomal RNA
Source: RNAcentral